This is a long non-coding RNA of Cyprinus carpio carpio, 1131 nucleotides long. The record is from Ensembl. Lineage: Eukaryota; Metazoa; Chordata; Actinopteri; Cypriniformes; Cyprinidae.
CUGUAAUCCGCUUGUAGUCUGUUCACAUUACUUGCUUAUCUUUAGGUUUCCAUGUUAGUUUGGACUUUGUUCCAUCUGAGAGUUCUUCUUUUAAAAGUAACACAGGAGCGGAGCAGUGGGGCUGUCCUGGUGUUUAAUAGGCUGACUGUACAGCCCACUGGCCAGCUUUACCCUGCUGCCACAGGAGCUGAAGCCAGAAUAAAGAUGACAAUGUCAAAGCGCAGGCAGCCACUGACUUGCAUUUUAUGAAUCACCAAGGACCAUGGUUUCAGCUAAAAGUCUUCUUUACUGUUCUACUCAAGAAAAGAAAAAGUCACCUACAUCUUGCAUAUCCUGAGGCAAUUGAAGAACAGUUGGAGAGGAGAAGAUAAAAAAGGAAGGGAAGGAAAAAGCAGACGAAAGGUCACCAGGAUGUGAGGCUUCUAUUAUCAGCAAUCUUCUCCUGGCUUCCACAGGCAGCUUGUUUCUAAACUGCCACCUAGCCAAGCAUGAAGGGAGUAUAAUUUUAGCCAAUCUCCCAGUAGCUUGGGUGUACAGAAAGGCAUUGUAGGCCAGCAAAAUGGUCACAAUAGAGGCACUGGCCACUGAUAAAGAUCUGCAUAGGUAAUGCCAGGACAGCAAUAAGUGAAUUUUUUUGCGUCCCUGCAUUCAGACGGCACUACCUAACAGCUUUGACCACUAUUUGUCCCUUUGGCUUUGAAAGUGAUGGAUAGAAUUUUUGUGCAGUAUAAUUGCAAGGGCCAGGGCAUGUGUGGAAAUUGAUUAAUUCCCUGAGCGAAAAAUGCAUUACCCUGGAUACUUCUUUACUGUUUAUCAGGCCAUGCAGCCAAAGGCUUUGUUUGCUCUCUUCAACUUUCCCCAGCUACCCCUAACAGGGCCUUUUCAAGGGGUCUCUGCUUUGGCUUCUAGUCAUUUUGGUAGUAUUUGUUGUGCUACACCUUUGGUAUCAAAGGAAACAGUGAGGGCAGAAAACAGAGACAAACACAUAAGCUCUUUAAUCACAUUUAUUAUGCAUCUUGUAAGAAACGUGUUAAAGGGACCGUUCGCUCAAUAAUGAAAAUUGUUGUGAUUUUCUCACCCUCCUGUUUUUGGUGACAAUUUUCUUCUCUGCACAUUUAAACCUGGAACCCC